This 556-nucleotide ribosomal RNA is filed under the name Mesorhizobium sp. HRRP013. RNAcentral describes it as "bacterial SSU rRNA". It matches the Rfam family "Bacterial small subunit ribosomal RNA", at positions 102 to 694 of the family's 1533-position model. The record is from RNAcentral. Lineage: Bacteria; Pseudomonadati; Pseudomonadota; Alphaproteobacteria; Hyphomicrobiales; Phyllobacteriaceae.
ACGGGUGAGUAACGCGUGGGAAUCUACCCAUCUCUACGGAACAACUCCGGGAAACUGGAGCUAAUACCGUAUACGUCCUUCGGGAGAAAGAUUUAUCGGAGAUGGAUGAGCCCGCGUUGGAUUAGCUAGUUGGUGGGGUAAUGGCCUACCAAGGCGACGAUCCAUAGCUGGUCUGAGAGGAUGAUCAGCCACACUGGGACUGAGACACGGCCCAGACUCCUACGGGAGGCAGCAGUGGGGAAUAUUGGACAAUGGGCGCAAGCCUGAUCCAGCCAUGCCGCGUGAGUGAUGAAGGCCCUAGGGUUGUAAAGCUCUUUCAACGGUGAAGAUAAUGACGGUAACCGUAGAAGAAGCCCCGGCUAACUUCGUGCCAGCAGCCGCGGUAAUACGAAGGGGGCUAGCGUUGUUCGGAAUACUGGGCGUAAAGCGCACGUAGGCGGAUACUUAAGUCAGGGGUGAAAUCCCGGGGCUCAACCCCGGAACUGCCUUUGAUACUGGGUAUCUCGAGUCCGGAAGAGGUGAGUGGAAUUCCGAGUGUAGAGGUGAAAUUCGUAGA